CCACAGUCGAGAGAGUGCAGACAGAAUUCUCCUUGACCUGAUAGCCUGACAUGUCGCCAAGCAUGAACUUGAACUACUGAUCCGGCUGCUUCAUGCUCCCGGAUGCUGGGAUUACAGGAAUGCGCAGCCAUGGAGGGGUUUAUGCAGUGCUGGGGACGAAGUCCUGGGGUCUGUGCAUUCUAGACAAGCACUCAGCCACCUGAAAUACACGCCCAGCCCCUUUGCUCUUCUCCUUGAGUGCAACCUGUCCAGACUCUGUGUGUUAGGAACUCCGAGGCAACAUUGACAGAAGUCCAAGCAUUGGGACGGAACCACUGGCCUUUGAAACUCCAGGGGCUUGACCUACCCAUUUCAGCAGGAAGACUUGACCGUCAAUACAUGGAGGAAGAAAGUGGGAACCCAGAGACAACCUGGUCCUCGGAUAUGCUUAAAAACAGAAACAGGGCUGGCUGACUCCGUUUCAGAGAUGCCUGGGGCCGUCUGAAUUUCCAUGCUGGAAAUCCUGUGUCCUAGGAAAUUAAGCACUGGACACCUGGUAAUCAAGUGCCCUGGUCCCCAGAGUGACCUUUCUAUGGAAGGUAGAAAAUAUUAUAGCUGGCCAGAAGGUAGAAAUUUGCUGCCUCCUCCUCCUUGGUUAUAUCCUGAGGGUACCUGCGGGCUCCCUGUGGAUAGGGGCUGAUUAUAAAUGCCAUUUCUCCAGCUUUUCUCAAUUUCACCCUCCUUUUUACCUCUGUACCUUCUCCCCACCAGUCAGAACUCUUGCUCUGGCAUUUGGGCCAUAGCAGCCAUAGGAGACUCCAGGAUACACACCAAGAAGAAACAAGAGAAACAUUUCAAUGCAGGGUAUGGGCUGCACAUCGGGGGCUGAGGAGGUGUAAUGCACAUGUGUACUACACGAGGCCCCAGAACAUUGCUUAUUUUAGUCAAUAGCUUGUCAAAUAACCCAUUCUGUAUUUUACAGACUUCUUAAGUUCUUGAUAAGUCUUCAUUGAUAAUACCUAUCUCUGUAA
This is a long non-coding RNA of Onychomys torridus (southern grasshopper mouse), 1010 nucleotides long. RefSeq lists it as uncharacterized. The record is from RefSeq and is a predicted model, not a curated record. Lineage: Eukaryota; Metazoa; Chordata; Mammalia; Rodentia; Cricetidae. The transcript has 4 exons.